UUUCCGUAGGUGAACCUGCGGAAGGAUCAUUAAAGAGAAUAUGCCCUUCGGGGUAGAUCUCCCACCCUUUGUUUAUAUUACCUUUGUUGCUUUGGCAGGCCCGUCUUCGGACCACCGGCUUCGGCUGGUCAGUGCUUGCCAGAGGACCCAAAACUCUUGUUAUUAAUGUCGUCUGAGUACUAUAUAAUAGUUAAAACUUUCAACAACGGAUCUCUUGGUUCUG
Molecule: unclassified non-coding RNA, 223 nt
Filed under: plant metagenome
Description: partial contains small subunit ribosomal RNA, internal transcribed spacer 1, and 5.8S ribosomal RNA
Source: RNAcentral